RNAcentral lists this unclassified non-coding RNA (897 nucleotides) under Rhizobium sp. RNAcentral's name for it is "partial contains 16S-23S ribosomal RNA intergenic spacer and 23S ribosomal RNA". The stretch from base 130 to 202 matches the Rfam family "tRNA". Lineage: Bacteria; Pseudomonadati; Pseudomonadota; Alphaproteobacteria; Hyphomicrobiales; Rhizobiaceae. The record is from RNAcentral.
GGUAGUUCAAGUCUACCCGGGCCCACCAUUUGCACUUGCGAAUGCGGGUUGAGGGAUGACUGAUUUGCCGUUGGGUUUCCUGAUGCGGAACGUUGCCGAACCUGGGCUUGCCCGGGCGAUCGAGCUGAUGGGGCUGUAGCUCAGCUGGGAGAGCACCUGCUUUGCAAGCAGGGGGUCAGCGGUUCGAUCCCGCUCAGCUCCACCAAAUCGAUUGGUGUCGAGACUGACGGCAAGGAAGCGUAGCGCAAGGCGCCUCGCCAAUCGUUUGGCGCCCUAGCGGAGCGCCUUCGGCGCGUGAGCGACAAGAAUUGUCUUCUGAAGAAAAACAAAGUUUGCAUCGUUUUUGACGAUGCCUGUUCUGCCUAUAUCGUGAAGAGAAGAUUGAUCUGGAGGCUUCCAGGUGUUUUGGGUUUUGGCCCAGGGCGUCCGAAGCCGGUUCCAAUGAUGUCGUUGAUGGUCUAGCCGACCGGAAACGAAAGAGGAGCCGGAGGUAGGAAGGAAGCUUGUCCUGAGGCAUUGUUGUUGUUUGAAGGCUUUGGCGUUCAUCUGACCGACGAUGCUGGAUUGGCGUUGCCUGACCGCGCGCCACCGGAUUUGAUCUCGAGAAGCUGGUCUUAAGACAGACUGCAAGCGAGCUGCUCGGCGUAGCUCCAAUAAAGCAGAUCUGUCGAACACGUCGAUGGCAUCAUUAGAAAGCGUGAUUGUAAAAGGUAAUCACGCAUUGUUGGUCUUCGGAUUUGAUUGCGGCAACUGAAAGGUUGUCCGGAUGAGAAUUUUAAAUCCAACAAAGAUGAUGAGCAUUGGCAAUGAGAACGAUUAAGUGUCGUAAGGGCAUUUGGUGGAUGCCUUGGCAUGCACAGGCGAUGAAGGACGUGAUACGCUGCGAUAAGCCGUGGG